Molecule: ribosomal RNA, 468 nt
Filed under: uncultured bacterium
Lineage: Bacteria
Description: bacterial SSU rRNA
Rfam family: Bacterial small subunit ribosomal RNA
Source: RNAcentral
AGAGUUUGAUCCUGGCUCAGGACGAACGUUGGCGGCGCGUCUAAGGCAUGCAAGUCGAACGGAUCACUUGUUGUAGCAAUAUGAUGAGUGAUUAGUGGCAAACGGGUGCGUAACACAUUGGUAACCUGCCUCGAAGACGGGUAUAACCCCCCGAAAGGGGGACUAAUUCCCGAUGGUCAUAAGGGACGCAAGUCUUCUUAUGUAAAUACUUCGGUGCUUCGAGAGGGACCUAUGGUCUAUCAGCUUGUUGGUGAGGUAAUGGCUCACCAAGGCUAUGACGGAUAGGGGGUGUGAGAGCACGACCCCCCUCACUGGGACUGAGACACUGCCCAGACACCUACGGGUGGCUGCAGUCGAGAAUCUUCCCCAAUGGCCGAAAGGCUGAGGGAGCGACGCCGCGUGCAGGAUGAAGGGCUUCGGCUCGUAAACUGCUUUUUCAGGGACGAAUGUGACGGUACCUGAAGAAUA